GCCUGGGUGGCUCAGUCGGUUAAGCGUCCGACUUCAGCUCAGGUCAGGAUCUCACGGUCUGUGAGUCCGUGAGUUCGAGCCCCACCUCGGGCU
RNAcentral lists this transfer RNA (93 nucleotides) under Felis catus (domestic cat). It matches the Rfam family "tRNA". From Rfam's summary of the family: Transfer RNA (tRNA) molecules are approximately 80 nucleotides in length. Their secondary structure includes four short double-helical elements and three loops (D, anti-codon, and T loops). Further hydrogen bonds mediate the characteristic L-shaped molecular structure. tRNAs have two regions of fundamental functional importance: the anti-codon, which is responsible for specific mRNA codon recognition, and the 3' end, to which the tRNAs corresponding amino acid is attached (by aminoacyl-tRNA synthetases). tRNAs cope with the degeneracy of the genetic code in two manners: having more than one tRNA (with a specific anti-codon) for a particular amino acid; and 'wobble' base-pairing, i.e. permitting non-standard base-pairing at the 3rd anti-codon position. The record is from Rfam by way of RNAcentral. Lineage: Eukaryota; Metazoa; Chordata; Mammalia; Carnivora; Felidae.